RNAcentral lists this long non-coding RNA (1399 nucleotides) under Mus pahari (shrew mouse). RNAcentral describes it as "lncRNA (MGP_PahariEiJ_G0002369.1)". The record is from RNAcentral. Lineage: Eukaryota; Metazoa; Chordata; Mammalia; Rodentia; Muridae.
GGUAGGAACAAUUUCAAGAGAAAAUGUGAGCAGUGGUUCUCAGUUUUGAAUUUUGUCCAAGAGCUUCAGACCAAGUUGCCCCUCAGGCCUACAAAAGUGAAAACAGAAACUUUGCUUCAGAGGGUAGGUGGCAAGAAAAACAGACACAAGUCAAAGCAGGCUCAUAAAUGGAUGGCAGGUUGGGUUAUUUAGCUUCUCUCAGAAGGGAUGGUGGCCACAUGACACGUGCUCUUAGAAUCCUUGCAAAAACUCCUGCAGCUGGGUGACAAUCUCUGUGUCCACCGUUUCCAUGAGAGACUGGAAGCCUUGCUCCCCCAGGAUCUCCUGCUGUGCCUUGAGCUUCUCAUAGAUGAACUGCUGCAGAGACACUGUGUGCACAGGAUCCUUCAGGGCCAGCUGUGGGACAGAGGACAGACAAGGUCAGAAAGACAGACAAUCCUCCUACACGCGCCUCACUGGGCUCUGUAAUCUCUCCACAGGGACACUUCUAAGAGCCUCCUGCAGACAGUGUUUGGGGGCUCUGAGGUGUUGCUCUGAUGUGCAGUUUCUCAAGGGAACACAUCCUUUAAAAGUGCUAGAAUCUAGUAGAAAGGAGGAGAAUGAAGGCAUCGAUGCGACCGAAGACUGCUCUCCUAAGGACAGUCAGAUUCCAUGGCGGCAGCAGCCCCACCCCCACCCCCACCCCCAGCAAGUGCACACUAUUUGCUCUAGCUUACACUGCAACCAUGUUUUUAGGUUGGGGCAGGGAGUGUCGAAUUUUGUUUUUCCCCCAGUCCCAUUACAGUAUUUAGAAAAUCAAAGAAAAAUUAAAUUUUCAGUAUUUUUAUGCUAUAUUUUUUUUAACCUGUUAAACAUAUGUAAAAGAGGCCACAAUUUAAACAAUUCUAUCUAUAACUUUGCUGGGCAUACCACACUGUUUUGGGCUCCUGUGUAAGCAGCCUUUCUUUACAUUUCAGCUUCUUCCCUUUUGUUUGGAACAGUUCUCUGGCAGUCAAGGUUAGCCCAUACUAGGAACUGUGUAGCUCCUGUGCCUUGGGCUGUUGCUUUCACCUCCAAGCACUGGGCUGCAGGCGUGUGCCACUAUAGGCGUGUGCCAUUAUAGGCCUGUGCCACUAUGCUCAGAAUGCCAUCUUGGUUUCCUAGGAUAUCAAAAGAACUACUAGGGCAUAGAACAUUUAUGACUUCUAAUAUAUACCAUCAGCUUACUUCCCCUAUGGUUUGUACCAAUAUAAGAGAUAUAACAGUAUUUAGUUGCUAGCACUGUGUUGCCACUGUUAUUAUUUAAAUGACUUAUAAUAACAACAUAGAAUUAGUAUAAGCUGAGCAUUUAUCUCACCAUCAGUGACUCUGAACAUCUGCAUAACUUUCAAUAAAGUAUGUGAAUGUCUUUGCCCAAUGU